UCCAGAUUGAUCGCAAGAAGGAGGAGAAA
RNAcentral lists this non-coding RNA (29 nucleotides) under Mus musculus (house mouse). The record is from RNAcentral. Lineage: Eukaryota; Metazoa; Chordata; Mammalia; Rodentia; Muridae.